GCUGGGCACAGUGGUGCAUACCUGUAAUCCCAGCGGCUCUGAGGCUGAGGCAGGAGGAUCAUGAGUUCGAAGCCAGCCUUGGCAAUUCAGUGAGACCCUGUCUCUA
This 106-nucleotide small RNA is filed under the name Marmota monax (woodchuck). The record is from RNAcentral. Lineage: Eukaryota; Metazoa; Chordata; Mammalia; Rodentia; Sciuridae.